Molecule: ribosomal RNA, 485 nt
Filed under: uncultured Bacteroidota bacterium
Lineage: Bacteria; Pseudomonadati; Bacteroidota
Description: bacterial SSU rRNA
Rfam family: Bacterial small subunit ribosomal RNA
Source: RNAcentral
AACUUAAAUGAAUUGACGGGGGCCCGCACAAGCGGAGGAGCAUGUGGUUUAAUUCGAUGAUACGCGAGGAACCUUACCUGGGCUUAAAUGCUUAAUGACGUACUGGGAAACUGGUAUUUCUUCGGACAUUUUGCAAGGUGCUGCAUGGUUGUCGUCAGCUCGUGCCGUGAGGUGUCGGGUUAAGUCCCAUAACGAGCGCAACCCCUAUUGUUAGUUGCCAUCAGGUCAUGCUGGGGACUCUAACAAAACUGCCCGCGUAAGCGUGGAGGAAGGUGGGGAUGACGUCAAAUCAGCACGGCCCUUACGUCCAGGGCUACACACGUGCUACAAUGGCCGGUACAGAGGGCAGCCACUUGGUGACAAGGAGCAAAUCUCAAAAGCCGGUCUCAGUUCGGAUCGGAGUCUGCAACUCGACUCCGUGAAGUUGGAUUCGCUAGUAAUCGUAGAUCAGCCAAUGCUAACGGUAGAAUACGUUCCGGGCCGUU